Molecule: ribosomal RNA, 445 nt
Filed under: Granulicatella adiacens
Lineage: Bacteria; Bacillati; Bacillota; Bacilli; Lactobacillales; Carnobacteriaceae
Description: bacterial SSU rRNA
Rfam family: Bacterial small subunit ribosomal RNA
Source: RNAcentral
GACGAACGCUGGCGGCGUGCCUAAUACAUGCAAGUCGAACGAGAGCGACCGGUGCUUGCACUGGUCAAUCUAGUGGCGAACGGGUGAGUAACACGUGGGUAACCUGCCCAUCAGAGGGGGAUAACAUUCGGAAACGGAUGCUAAAACCGCAUAGGUCCUUUAACCGCAUGGUUGAAGGAGGAAAAGAGGCGCAAGCUUCUGCUGAUGGAUGGACCCGCGGUGCAUUAGCUAGUUGGUGAGGUAACGGCUCACCAAGGCCGUGAUGCAUAGCCGACCUGAGAGGGUGAUCGGCCACAUUGGGACUGAGACACGGCCCAAACUCCUACGGGAGGCAGCAGUAGGGAAUCUUCCGCAAUGGACGCAAGUCUGACGGAGCAACGCCGCGUGAGUGAAGAAGGUUUUCGGAUCGUAAAACUCUGUUGUUAGAGAAGAACAAGUGCUAGAG